RNAcentral lists this ribosomal RNA (227 nucleotides) under uncultured bacterium. RNAcentral's name for it is "partial 16S ribosomal RNA". It matches the Rfam family "Bacterial small subunit ribosomal RNA", at positions 119 to 334 of the family's 1533-position model. The record is from RNAcentral.
CGGAAUUUGCCCAGUCGUGGGGGAUAACGUAGGGAAACUUACGCUAAUACCGCAUACGACACCGUGUUGAAUAGAUACGGGGUGAAAGCGGGGGAUCGCAAGACCUCGCGCGAGUGGAUGAGCCGAUGUCGGAUUAGCUAGUUGGCGGGGUAAAGGCCCACCAAGGCGACGAUCCGUAGCUGGUCUGAGAGGAUGAUCAGCCACACUGGGACUGAGACACGGCCCAG